This 254-nucleotide ribosomal RNA is filed under the name uncultured bacterium. RNAcentral describes it as "partial 16S ribosomal RNA". It matches the Rfam family "Bacterial small subunit ribosomal RNA", at positions 524 to 776 of the family's 1533-position model. The record is from RNAcentral.
UACGGGGGGAGCAAGCGUUGUUCGGAUUUACUGGGCGUAAAGGGCGAGUAGGCGGCCACCGCAAGUCAAUUGUGAAAUCUCCGGGCUUAACUCGGAAAGGUCAACUGAUACUGCGGGGCUAGAGUGCGGAAGGGGCAACUGGAAUUCUCGGUGUAGCGGUGAAAUGCGUAGAUAUCGAGAGGAACACCUGCGGCGAAGGCGGGUUGCUGGGCCGACACUGACGCUGAGGCGCGAAAGCUAGGGGAGCGAACGGG